Phrynosoma platyrhinos (Desert horned lizard) is the source of this 72-nucleotide non-coding RNA. Lineage: Eukaryota; Metazoa; Chordata; Lepidosauria; Squamata; Phrynosomatidae. The record is from the annotation of a GenBank genome assembly.
GCCAGUGUGGUAUAGUGGUUUGACUAUUGGACUAUGAUUCUGGGGACCAGGGUUCAAAUUCCUGCUCAGCCA